Molecule: long non-coding RNA, 1161 nt
Organism: Panicum virgatum (switchgrass)
Lineage: Eukaryota; Viridiplantae; Streptophyta; Magnoliopsida; Poales; Poaceae
Exons: 2
Source: RefSeq, a predicted model, not a curated record
CCCCCCCCCGCCCAGAUCUGCUCGUGAGCACCUCAGCCGCCGCCGCCGGAGAGGACUGGCCGCCGGGAGCAGGGGCGGGGUGGUGGCGGGCCUGCGCCCGCAACGGCGGAGCCCCGCUCCGGCCGCCGGAGCCAUGCCCGCCGCCGUGCCGGCCCCACCUCGCUGUUGCCGCGGACGGCCACCUGCACCGCGAGGAGCCGCCGUCGGCACCUUCGCCGGCACGUACGCGCACCAGCACUGGCCGCCGCACCACUGCACCUUGCUAGAGGAUGAUGGGCAGAGGAGGUGGGUGGAGGAGAGUCAGGAGACACAGGAGGUGGAGGGCGCCGGUGCACUGGACGGGAGAGGAGAUGGGCAGAUCCGGGCGGUGGGGAGGUGGUGCUGCGCGGAGCUAUCGGGGGCGCAUGGGAGAGAUAGAGACCGAGAGAGCGGAGAGAUCGAGAGGAGCUCUGCCAUGGCGUUGACAGAACGCUGAAGGCAAGAGAGAUACCGAAAGUCGAGACUCGAGAGAGAUCGAGAGAUGAGGAUAUUUUUCAUUUUUUUCAAUCUAGCCCUUAUAAAAUGCAGCAAUCACAAAGAAGCGGCUGCAGCUGCAUGUCAAGCAUUGUCCAGCAAACUAUGGACUGCAGCAGCCGCAAAUUCCCCCUUAUUGUUCAAUACCAUCGAUGCUAUCGUGAAGUGUGAGCCUAACAGAGCAGCAUGAAAGCUGAAUCAUUUGCAAUGGCCAGCUCAGAACAGAGCAACACGAAAGCUGAAUCAUUUGCAGCGGACACUUCAGUUCAGUGCAGCACUCAACUUGCUAUGCUCUACCAAUUCAAUCGUUGAUGGAUUGGCAUCUGAUGUCCUGUCCUGUCAGGCCAACUCAGAAGUUACAAAGUAAGAACGCUACUUUGUACUAAUGGACUUUGAGAUUAUCAGAAUAAAGAGGAAACAAUAAUACAUCAUGGCAGCUGUCAUCAGUUUUACUUAGGUGAACGUUUAGUGUAAUUGUAUUUUUACUUCAUGCCUAUGCUAUAGUGUCGUAUCUGCUUAUGUUUGUUUUGAAAAUUUGGAUUGGGAUUCCUCAUAGGAUAUCCAUGAUUUGUUUACAAGAAUUAAUGAUCUUAAGUUCUUGAGCAGAUAUGGAAAAUCAUGUUUCCUUACAGUUAAGUGUUAUGGUGA